This is a long non-coding RNA of Maylandia zebra (zebra mbuna), 521 nucleotides long. RefSeq lists it as uncharacterized. Lineage: Eukaryota; Metazoa; Chordata; Actinopteri; Cichliformes; Cichlidae. The record is from RefSeq and is a predicted model, not a curated record.
CCUGUUUUACAGAGAAUCUUUUAUUACUGAAUGAUUCAGUUCAUGUUUGUGCCACAGUUUCAUGAGAGAACAUUUUUUUUCUAUGAAUCAUACAAGCUUUAAAGGGGCACCUAAGUCAAGAUGUGAAUAAGGGUUGUUUCUAACAGACAACUUAGCAAACAACCAAUUUAUCCUUAGCCAGAUAAAUUGGUUUUAUCUGGCUAAAAUGUAAACUUUUUGCAAGAGCUUAAUCAGAAAAGGUUUCUGUGGAAGGGUGGCUGUCAAAAAGCCAUUUUUAAGGAUGACAAUGAUCUCAAACAGCAAAACCAUAUCUGGAUAGAAAAACACCUGAACACCGUCAGUCAUUGCAUCAGCCUCCCCAGAGCCUGGACCUCAACAUUACUGAAGCAGUGUGGGAUCAUCUCGAUAGAGACAAAGGCAGCCAACAUCCAACAGGAGUCGCUGCUGUUACACCUUGCAGUUGAGACAAUGGGCACUGUGACUGUCCUGAGUGUGACAGGCACCUGGCCUCCUUCCAGACU